Molecule: ribosomal RNA, 233 nt
Filed under: uncultured bacterium
Lineage: Bacteria
Description: partial 16S ribosomal RNA
Rfam family: Bacterial small subunit ribosomal RNA
Source: RNAcentral
GAUCCUGACUCAGGACGAACGCUGGCGGCGCGCCUAACACAUGCAAGUCGAACGAGCGAGAGAGAGCUUGCUUUCUCGAGCGAGUGGCGAACGGGUGAGUAACGCGUGAGGAACCUGCCUCAAAGAGGGGACGACAGUUGGAAACGACUGCUAAUACCGCAUAAGCCCACGGCUCGGCAUCGAGCAGAGGGAAAAGGAGUGAUCCGCUUUGAGAUGGCCUCGCGUCCGAUUAG